GUGCAGCAGGCGCGAAAACUUUACAAUGCUGGCAACAGCGAUAAGGGGACCUCGAGUGCCAGGAUACAAUCUUGGCUGUCGUGAUGCCUAAAAAGCAUUACAUAGCAAGGGCCGGGCAAGACCGGUGCCAGCCGCCGCGGUAACACCGGCGGCUCGAGUGGUAACCGCUAUUAUUGGGUCUAAAGGGUCUGUAGCCGGCCGGAUAAGUCUCUUGGGAAAUCCAGCAGCUCAACUGUUGGGCUUCCAGGGGAUACUGUUCGGCUCGAGGCCGGGAGAGGUGAGAGGUACUUCAGGGGUAGGGGUGAAAUCUUGUAAUCCUUGAAGGACCACCAGUGGCGAAGGCGUCUCACCAGAACGGUCCUGACGGCAAGGGACGAAAGCUAGGGGCACGAACCGGAUUAGAUACCCGGGUAGUCCUAGCCGUAAACGAUACUCGCUAGGUGUCAGCCACGGUGCGACCGUGGUUGGUGCCGUAGGGAAGCCGUGAAGCGAGCCACCUGGGAAGUACGGCCGCAAGGCUGAAACUUAAAGGAAUUGGCGGGGGAGCAC
Molecule: ribosomal RNA, 549 nt
Filed under: uncultured archaeon
Lineage: Archaea
Description: bacterial SSU rRNA
Rfam family: Archaeal small subunit ribosomal RNA
Source: RNAcentral